RNAcentral lists this ribosomal RNA (206 nucleotides) under uncultured bacterium. RNAcentral's name for it is "partial 16S ribosomal RNA". It matches the Rfam family "Bacterial small subunit ribosomal RNA", at positions 524 to 729 of the family's 1533-position model. The record is from RNAcentral.
UACGUAGGGUGCGAGCGUUGUCCGGAAUUAUUGGGCGUAAAGGGCUCGUAGGCGGUUUGUCGCGUCUGCUGUGAAAACUAGAGGCUCAACCUCUAGCCUGCAGUGGGUACGGGCAGACUUGAGUGGUGUAGGGGAGACUGGAAUUCCUGGUGUAGCGGUGGAAUGCGCAGAUAUCAGGAGGAACACCGAUGGCGAAGGCAGGUCGU